Molecule: ribosomal RNA, 466 nt
Filed under: uncultured bacterium
Lineage: Bacteria
Description: bacterial SSU rRNA
Rfam family: Bacterial small subunit ribosomal RNA
Source: RNAcentral
GACGAACGCUGGCGGCGCGCCUAACACAUGCAAGUCGAACGAGAGAUGAGGAGCUUGCUCUUCAAAUCGAGUGGCGAACGGGUGAGUAACGCGUGAGGAACCUGCCUCAAAGAGGGGGACAACAGUUGGAAACGACUGCUAAUACCGCAUAAGCCCACGGCUCGGCAUCGAGCAGAGGGAAAAGGAGCAAUCCGCUUUGAGAUGGCCUCGCGUCCGAUUAGCUAGUUGGUGAGGUAACGGCCCACCAAGGCGACGAUCAGUAGCCGGCCUGAGAGGGUGAACGGCCACAUUGGGACUGAGACACGGCCCAAACUCCUACGGGAGGCAGCAGUGGGGAAUAUUGCACAAUGGGGGAAACCCUGAUGCAGCAACGCCGCGUGAGUGAAGAAGUAUUUCGGUAUGUAAAGCUCUAUCAGCAGGAAAGAAAAUGACGGUACCUGACUAAGAAGCCCCGGCUAACUACGUG